CUUGCUUCUCUUGAGAGCGGCGGACGGGUGAGUAAUGCCUAGGAAUCUGCCUGGUAGUGGGGGAUAACGUCCGGAAACGGACGCUAAUACCGCAUACGUCCUACGGGAGAAAGCAGGGGACCUUCGGGCCUUGCGCUAUCAGAUGAGCCUAGGUCGGAUUAGCUAGUUGGUGGGGUAAUGGCUCACCAAGGCGACGAUCCGUAACUGGUCUGAGAGGAUGAUCAGUCACACUGGAACUGAGACACGGUCCAGACUCCUACGGGAGGCAGCAGUGGGGAAUAUUGGACAAUGGGCGAAAGCCUGAUCCAGCCAUGCCGCGUGUGUGAAGAAGGUCUUCGGAUUGUAAAGCACUUUAAGUUGGGAGGAAGGGCAGUAAAUUAAUACUUUGCUGUUUUGACGUUACCGACAGAAUAAGCACCGGCUAACUCUGUGCCAGCAGCCGCGGUAAUACAGAGGGUGCAAGCGUUAAUCGGAAUUACUGGGCGUAAAGCGCGCGUAGGUGGUUCGUUAAGUUGGAUGUGAAAUCCCCGGGCUCAACCUGGGAACUGCAUUCAAAACUGACGAGCUAGAGUAUGGUAGAGGGUGGUGGAAUUUCCUGUGUAGCGGUGAAAUGCGUAGAUAUAGGAAGGAACACCAGUGG
Molecule: ribosomal RNA, 640 nt
Filed under: uncultured bacterium
Lineage: Bacteria
Description: bacterial SSU rRNA
Rfam family: Bacterial small subunit ribosomal RNA
Source: RNAcentral